GACGAACGCUGGCGGCGUGCUUAACACAUGCAAGUCGAACGGAAAGGCCCUGCUUUUGUGGGGUGCUCGAGUGGCGAACGGGUGAGUAACACGUGAGUAACCUGCCCUUGACUUUGGGAUAACUUCAGGAAACUGGGGCUAAUACCGGAUAGGAGCUCCUGCUGCAUGGUGGGGGUUGGAAAGUUUCGGCGGUUGGGGAUGGACUCGCGGCUUAUCAGCUUGUUGGUGGGGUAGUGGCUUACCAAGGCUUUGACGGGUAGCCGGCCUGAGAGGGUGACCGGCCACAUUGGGACUGAGAUACGGCCCGGACUCCUACGGGAGGCAGUAGUGGGGAAUAUUGCACAAUGGGCGGAAGCCUGAUGCAGCAACGCCGCGUGCGGGAUGACGGCCUUCGGGUUGUAAACCGCUUUCGCCUGUGACGAAGCGUGAGUGACGGUAAUGGGUAAAGAAGCACCGGCUAACUACGUG
RNAcentral lists this ribosomal RNA (468 nucleotides) under uncultured bacterium. RNAcentral's name for it is "partial 16S ribosomal RNA". It matches the Rfam family "Bacterial small subunit ribosomal RNA", at positions 28 to 507 of the family's 1533-position model. The record is from RNAcentral.